GAUGAACGCUGGCGGCGUGCCUAAUACAUGCAAGUCGAGCGAACAGACGAGGAGCUUGCUCCUCUGACGUUAGCGGCGAACGGGUGAGUAACACGUGGAUAACCUACCUAUAAGACUGGGAUAACUUCGGGAAACCGGAGCUAAUACCGGAUAAUAUAUUGAACCGCAUGGUUCAAUAGUGAAAGACGGUUUUGCUGUCACUUAUAGAUGGAUCCGCGCCGCAUUAGCUAGUUGGUAAGGUAACGGCUUACCAAGGCAACGAUGCGUAGCCGACCUGAGAGGGUGAUCGGCCACACUGGAACUGAGACACGGUCCAGACUCCUACGGGAGGCAGCAGUAGGGAAUCUUCCGCAAAGGGCGAAAGCCUGACGGAGCAACGCCGCGUGAGUGAUGAAGGUCUUCGGAUCGUAAAACUCUGUUAUUAGGGAAGAACAAAUGUGUAAGUAACUAUGCACGUCUUGACGGUACCUAAUCAGGAAGCCACGGCUAACUACGUG
This 497-nucleotide ribosomal RNA is filed under the name uncultured bacterium. Its description in RNAcentral is "partial 16S ribosomal RNA". It matches the Rfam family "Bacterial small subunit ribosomal RNA", at positions 28 to 507 of the family's 1533-position model. The record is from RNAcentral.